This 536-nucleotide ribosomal RNA is filed under the name Bacillus thuringiensis. RNAcentral's name for it is "bacterial SSU rRNA". It matches the Rfam family "Bacterial small subunit ribosomal RNA", at positions 74 to 593 of the family's 1533-position model. The record is from RNAcentral. Lineage: Bacteria; Bacillati; Bacillota; Bacilli; Caryophanales; Bacillaceae.
GAGAGCUUGCUCUCAAGAAGUUAGCGGCGGACGGGUGAGUAACACGUGGGUAACCUGCCCAUAAGACUGGGAUAACUCCGGGAAACCGGGGCUAAUACCGGAUAACAUUUUGAACUGCAUGGUUCGAAAUUGAAAGGCGGCUUCGGCUGUCACUUAUGGAUGGACCCGCGUCGCAUUAGCUAGUUGGUGAGGUAACGGCUCACCAAGGCAACGAUGCGUAGCCGACCUGAGAGGGUGAUCGGCCACACUGGGACUGAGACACGGCCCAGACUCCUACGGGAGGCAGCAGUAGGGAAUCUUCCGCAAUGGACGAAAGUCUGACGGAGCAACGCCGCGUGAGUGAUGAAGGCUUUCGGGUCGUAAAACUCUGUUGUUAGGGAAGAACAAGUGCUAGUUGAAUAAGCUGGCACCUUGACGGUACCUAACCAGAAAGCCACGGCUAACUACGUGCCAGCAGCCGCGGUAAUACGUAGGUGGCAAGCGUUAUCCGGAAUUAUUGGGCGUAAAGCGCGCGCAGGUGGUUUCUUAAGUCUGAU